Podarcis lilfordi (Lilford's wall lizard) is the source of this 156-nucleotide non-coding RNA. Lineage: Eukaryota; Metazoa; Chordata; Lepidosauria; Squamata; Lacertidae. The record is from the annotation of a GenBank genome assembly.
GGGUUAUGAAUAGACAUGCAUGGGAUUGUUCUGUCACUUUAUUUAUUUUAACAUUUAUAUUAUGUCUUUCUAUGACAAGUAUGCUCAAGGUGGCUUGCAGAAUUUGAGCAUGUGUGUGUGUGUGUGUGUGUGUGUGAUGAAGCGAGUGAAAACCCA